RNAcentral lists this ribosomal RNA (254 nucleotides) under uncultured bacterium. Its description in RNAcentral is "partial 16S ribosomal RNA". It matches the Rfam family "Bacterial small subunit ribosomal RNA", at positions 524 to 776 of the family's 1533-position model. The record is from RNAcentral.
UACGUAGGUGGCUAGCGUUGUCCGGAAUUAUUGGGCGUAAAGAGCUCGUAGGCGGUGUGUCACGUCGGCCGUGAAAACCUGCAGCUUAACUGUGGGCGUGCGGUCGAUACGGGCAUCACUGGAGUUCGGCAGGGGAGACUGGAAUUCCUGGUGUAGCGGUGAAAUGCGCAGAUAUCAGGAGGAACACCGGUGGCGAAGGCGGGUCUCUGGGCCGAUACUGACGCUGAGGAGCGAAAGCGUGGGGAGCGAACAGG